GCAAAUUGACACCGUAACUUCGGGAGAAGGUGUGCCGCUGGCGGUUAGUGACUUCGCGUCACGAAGCUGUUGGUGGUCGCAGUGAAAUGGCGGUUGUGACUGUUUACUAAAAACACAGGACUCUGCGAAGUCGUAAGACGACGUAUAGGGUCUGAUGCCUGCCCGGUGCUGGAAGGUUAAGGGGAUAUGUCAGCGCAAGCGAAGCAUUGAACCGAAGCCCCAGUAAACGGCGGCCGUAACAAUAACGGUCCUAAGGUAGCGAAAUUCCUUGUCGGGUAAGUUCCACCUGCACGAAGGCAUAACAACAUCCGCACUGUCUCGACCAGGGACUCAGCGAAAUUACAUUGGGGGUGAAGAUGCCCUCUACCCGCGGAAAGACGGAAAGACCCCAUGAACCUUUACUGCAACUUGGCAGUGAUUUUCGGGUUGUUCUGCGUAGGAUAGGUUGGAGGCUUUGAAGCCGGGCUUCCGGGUUCGGCAGAGCCAACGUUGAAAUACCACCCUGAAUAAUCUGGAACUCUAACCUGCGCCCAUGAUCUGGGCGAGGGACUCUGCCUGGUGGGCAGUUUGACUGGGGCGGUCGCCUCCUAAAUUGUAACGGAGGCGUGCGACGGUUCCCUCAGGCUGAUUGGGAACCAGCCGUAGAGUGCAAACGCAUAAGGGAGCUUUACUGCGAGACUGACAAGUCGACCAGUUGCGAAAGCAGGUGUUAGUGAUCCGGUGGUACCACAUGGAAGGGCCAUCGCUCAUCGGAUAAAAGGUACUCUGGGGAUAACAGGCUGAUCGCGCCUGAGAGUUCACAUCGGCGGCGCGGUUUGGCACCUCGAUGUCGGCUCAUCGCAUCCUGGGGCUGGAGCAGGUCCCAAGGGUUUGGCUGUUCGCCAAUUAAAGCGGUACGCGAGCUGGGUUUAAAACGUCGUGAGACAGUUUGGUCCCUAUCUUCCGUGGGCGCAGGACACUUGAGAGGAGCUAUCCAUAGUACGAGAGGACCUGGAUGGACGAGCCUCUGGUGCUCCGGUUGUCACGCCAGUGGCAUAGCCGGGUAGCCAUGUUCGGAACAGAUAACCGCUGAAGGCAUAUAAGCGGGAAGCUGGCCUCAAGACUAGGUGUCCCUGGCGCAAGUCACUAAAGGCCCCUCGAAGACUACGAGGUUGAUAGGCUCGGUGUGGAAGCACAGCGAUGUGCGGAGCUAACGAGUACUAAUAGGCCGUGCGGCUUGACCUC
Molecule: ribosomal RNA, 1224 nt
Filed under: metagenome
Description: bacterial LSU rRNA
Rfam family: Bacterial large subunit ribosomal RNA
Source: RNAcentral